This 341-nucleotide unclassified non-coding RNA is filed under the name Hevea brasiliensis (rubber tree). The record is from RNAcentral. Lineage: Eukaryota; Viridiplantae; Streptophyta; Magnoliopsida; Malpighiales; Euphorbiaceae.
GAAUUGAAAACUUGCUGGUUGAGUUUGUAUUGACUUGGGAAUUGAAAAAUUUAUAAAUGUGCUCAAGUAACUAUGUUGUGUUCAUGUCGGUGAUAUAACUACUUUAAAUCUUUAUUGGCAUGUUUUAUGUACACUUAGACUGAACUAAAUUACUAGAACUAUACGACUUGUGACUCAGAAAGAUGGUUUGGUUAGAUGUAACAAUUUGAUCUGAGUCAAUAUUUACUGAUAAAAGUUAUAUAAUUAUGCGUUCUAGAAUGGAUCAGAUGAAGCAAGUUUGAGUGAGCAUGUCUUGUUUAACAGUCCUAAUUGUUAUCCUUGCAGGUAGUCCGAGCUUUGGA